This 251-nucleotide ribosomal RNA is filed under the name uncultured bacterium. Its description in RNAcentral is "partial 16S ribosomal RNA". It matches the Rfam family "Bacterial small subunit ribosomal RNA", at positions 524 to 776 of the family's 1533-position model. The record is from RNAcentral.
UACGUAGGGUGCAAGCGUUAAUCGGAAUUACUGGGCGUAAAGCGUGCGCAGGCGGUUUUGUAAGUCUGACGUGAAAUCCCCGGGCUCAACCUGGGAAUUGCGUUGGAGACUGCAAGGCUAGAAUCUGGGAGGGGGGUAGAAUUCCACGUGUAGCAGUGAAAUGCGUAGAGAUGUGGAGGAACACCGAUGGCGAAGGCAGCCCCCUGGGUCAAGAUUGACGCUCAUGCACGAAAGCGUGGGGAGCAAACAGG